Molecule: non-coding RNA, 175 nt
Filed under: uncultured Methylobacterium sp.
Lineage: Bacteria; Pseudomonadati; Pseudomonadota; Alphaproteobacteria; Hyphomicrobiales; Methylobacteriaceae
Source: RNAcentral
GACGGUUCCCGAGAGGGAUCAAAAGGGAACGCGGUGAAGGGCCUUUGCCCGAUCCCGCGGCUGCCCCCGCAACUGUGAGCGGAGAGUCCUUCAUCACCACGUCACUGGGCGAGCCUUCGCCUGGGAAGACGAUGGAGGACAACGACCCGCGAGCCAGGAGACCUGCCGUCAGCCG